GUGCGCGCCGAGGCCACUCCCCAGGCUGCUGCCCACACCGGGAGCCGCCGCCAGCAGGUGAACGCCCUGGGGAAGCCUGUUUUAGCCGCUACCUGGGACUGGGGCGCUCCGGGGAGGACUCAAGAAUCACGAGCCAGGCUGCCCCGCUCGGCUCUGCGGUCCCUGCGGGCUCCGGCUCGGGCUGCACCCCGCCCUCCCGCUGUUCUCUCCAGCCUGACUGCGGCUGCGCGGCUGCGGGAGGUCCCAGUUCCGGUUCCGGUUCCUGGGGCUGGGCUAUUCCCAGCGGCCCAGAGUGAAAGGCCCCACGGGCUUCUGCAGGUUUCGGUUUCGGUCCCAGAGAUAAUAUCCGAAGGAUGGAGAAGGAGACAGGAAAGCGGAGAGAGCUGGGAGGUUUUGGUGGCGAUAUCAUGGAGCAAUAAUUCAAGACACCAAAUCUCAACAGAGCUGUCUCCCCUGCCGGAAGAAGCAUGGCUGACAACGGGCCAGAUUGCAGAUGGAAGCUACCCCAACAAAUAGCAUGUGGAAUACCACAACAGGGGCUGUCAGUGGGACCUUCACCCCUGAAAACAAAACUACAACCAAACCGUUUCCUCUUCAUGUGGUGCUGUUGCUUCUUCUUCCUCUUCUUCUGGGUCAUCAGUAUCUCCUGACUCAUCGCUGUCUUCCACCCAUUUUCCUGGCAUUAGUCCUGCUGAAUCGUAGGAGUUGCACAGAGGCCCCACAAU
Non-coding RNA from Callithrix jacchus (white-tufted-ear marmoset), 725 nucleotides. The record is from RefSeq and is a predicted model, not a curated record. Lineage: Eukaryota; Metazoa; Chordata; Mammalia; Primates; Cebidae.